GUGACACUCAUGGUGCUUCCAACCAUAGCACCUCACAAGGGUACCUAUCAACUUGCCACCGACUCACUCGGCGUCCCCUACGGAAAGUCUGGCUUCGGUGCCUUCCCUUAAAGGGAUGUCACCAGAUAAAGGCUCGGGGCUCUUUGCAAAUUCAUGCUUAUGGCUUUGAUACCAACCUGUGACGACCCCAAAUCCAGGUACUUGAAACCCGAACUCGGUUCUCCACGAUACCAUUUCUUUAAGCUGAAUAAUACUAAAUAAUAAUACAUUCGAACUUAAUUUACAUACAUCAAAGUUUACUUCCCCAGGUACGUGACCUUCAAAU
RNAcentral lists this long non-coding RNA (325 nucleotides) under Panax ginseng (ginseng). RNAcentral describes it as "long non-coding RNA (PGIN_LNC001589)". The record is from RNAcentral. Lineage: Eukaryota; Viridiplantae; Streptophyta; Magnoliopsida; Apiales; Araliaceae.